Molecule: long non-coding RNA, 230 nt
Organism: Saccostrea echinata
Lineage: Eukaryota; Metazoa; Mollusca; Bivalvia; Ostreida; Ostreidae
Exons: 3
Source: RefSeq, a predicted model, not a curated record
UUUGGAAAAAUAACAUCCGUACAAUCUAAUGAUAGUGGAUUUUCAGCAUCAAUCGAGAAAGACGUGUUCGAAGGCUUUUAUUAUGAUUAUUCUGAAGAGAAAGAGCAACAAAGAAAUCACGAAGAGCUACGGAACAGAAUCAGCACGGAAUUGACAGAUCAACCCUUUCCAGAUUUUCAAGAUGCAUACAGUACAAAGCUUUAAAAUACAUAUCUGUGUUGAAAAAGACU